Molecule: long non-coding RNA, 311 nt
Organism: Populus euphratica (Euphrates poplar)
Lineage: Eukaryota; Viridiplantae; Streptophyta; Magnoliopsida; Malpighiales; Salicaceae
Exons: 4
Source: RefSeq, a predicted model, not a curated record
GAAAAUAAGAGAAAAUUCACGCUUGAGAACAUUCAUGGUGAGGAGCUUCGCAUAACUCUUUGGGGUGAUAGUGCCAGAGAUUUUGAUGAACUCGCUCUUCAUAACCUACCACCUCAAGUUAUCAUUGCGUUUGCUGGAUUUCGUGUCAUGGAAUUUAAGGGAAAACCAAAUCUUAACAUUACAGUCGCCUCUCUUUGUACUUCAAUCCAGACAUACCAGAAUGCUUAGCAUAUAAACAUUUUUUUACACAACUAUCUGUUGAAAUACAAUAACUCCCUUCAUCAUCAAAUGUUGUUUUAUUGAUAGAGGAA